Long non-coding RNA from Oncorhynchus keta (chum salmon), 2525 nucleotides. RefSeq lists it as uncharacterized. NCBI's taxonomy places the organism in Eukaryota, Metazoa, Chordata, Actinopteri, Salmoniformes, Salmonidae. The transcript has 2 exons. The record is from RefSeq and is a predicted model, not a curated record.
UGGGCGGUGGGUAGGUGAAUAGCAUGCUGUGAAUGUUUUUCCAUACAAUGAAAAUAAUAACUAGCUGUGUAGGUGAGUCUGAACAACACUUCCUGUUUCUCUCGGUGUGUAGGUGAGAGCACGACAAGUGGAGUAACUCUGUGUAUGUAGGUGUGUGUGUCGUGACUGGACUGUGUGUAGGUGUGUAUGCGACAAGAGAUUGUUGUGUGUGUGUGUGUAUAUGACACACACCUCCAGGGCUGUCUUUGAAGGAGGCAGGGAUGGUAUAGUGGUGAGUCAUUCAUUCCAGACUACCAGCCAUGUAUAGCUCUAUCCUUGUGAAUGGGAUUAUAGUUACUUCAUAACUGGGAUCACUCACUUCUCUUCAUCUCCUUUGGGACACGACUAGGUCUGUUUGUCAUGUUUAAUACUGAUAAUGUGGUCAUUUAACAGACUCUAAACACAUUCAGUAUAUGUGGCCCUUGCAGGAAUCAAACCCACAACUCUGCUGUUACAAACUCCAGGACCCAGGUCUUUAUUGUGCUGGUAUGACCAGUGCCAUAAGGGAGAAGUCUUUUCCCCAUUCAUCAGAUUUGGCUGCAGGGAGCGAAUGAGGGGAGGGAAUUAGAAGGAGAAGAGGGUGUGAUAGAGGGAGGGGUGGGGGUUACACAGGAAUGCUCUGUCACCAUGAGAAAAAUGCUUCCUUGCUGGUUCUGCCCUUUGUGUAGAAAGUGAGGCAGAUGAAUACAGAGAAACGGACACAGAAAGAGACUGACGUAGCGAGAGCAGAGGUACUACAGGAAUGUAUCAGAAAGUAUCGAGAGAAAUUACGUGUGUGUGUGUGUGUGUGUGUGUGUGUGUGUGUGUGCUGACACCCUGCACUCAGUCUGAUUAGGAUUAAAACUACACAUCUGUCCAGGAUGUUAGGACAGCAGUCACUAAGGUCAAUGUGUGUCUGGCUACAUCUGCCUGCCUUACCCUUCUCAGGGCUAAAGUUGUUCUGUAGGCUCAAUGCUGUCCUCUACUGGUGGCAUCCCAGCACUACAGCUGUGAGAGACUACCAGUGAUGCGUGGGUCAGCAGUUUGUUCACCCACCCGAAUUGCUAGUAACCCAUCCGCAACCUCCUGACUAUAUGUGAAAAUCUGAGGCCCACACUUAAUCCUAACCCGCAAAUAUAGAAAAUGUGAGGAACAAUUCUUUGACUGGCCUUUUUGAAUAGGCCUAUGUUUCUGCUGAUAAUUUCCGACAUUUUGGUAGGCUGUUUGUCAAGUUGUCUAUAAUUAAAUACAUGCAGCUUCUCUUCUGUCAGUAGUUGUUGCCCUAGAAGACUAAAUAAACCCUUGCUCACCAGAAUGUCAUAAAUCAAUAGAUUGAAGGCUUCAAUUUAGUUGACAGGGGAAAGUUACUUCUCUUGCAAAGCAAAGACAUUUAGGGACCGGGGGAAAAAUGCAAUAACUCCAGUUUUAAGAAAAUCGAAAGCUGUUAUAAAGACCCAACGUUUUUUAAAAUAGGAUUUCAGUUCAGCUUGGGCGCAUAUUUUAUGUGGUUGAAAUACUACCUGCUUUUAUGAUCCUGUACAUUUGCUGUAUCAUUUCACUGUAAGAAAUGCUUAAUUCUAUGAGUUGAUAUUAAAGCUAUGUGAGAGGUUAUAGACCUACACUCUGUUCAGAUGUCACUUAUACUACUAUUCUAUCUAACCCAUCUUGAACGGUACAGUUCCCAAGAUGUGUAAUUUUGAAAUCCCUGUGUUGUGACUGUGAGCUCAGUCAUCACACAUCUUUCCCCAACAUUAGACUACUGUUCUGGCCUGCUGUUCUUUCACAGCAUUUCUCUUAUUGGAUUCAACUCUGACAUUGUCCUUUUGGUCUCAGAAUUCUACAAAAAUUAUACAUUUAUGGAUUUUUAAUGCAUUGUUUUCUCUUUAUUCAACCCACCCAAUAUUGAAUGACCCUAAACCCACCCCUCCCCGCCAAUAUAAGUACAGGGAUUGCAGGUUAUGAGUCAACCCACCCAAUAUUGAAUGACCCUAAACCCACCCCUCCCCGCCAAUAUAAGUACAGGGAUUGCAGGUUAUGAGUCAACCCACCCAAUAUUGAAUGACCCUAAACCCACCCCUCCCCGCCAAUAUAAGUACAGGGAUUGCAGGUUAUGAGUCAACCCAGCCAAUAUUGAAUGACCCUAAACCCACCCCUCCCCGCCAAUAUAAGUACAGGGAUUGCAGGUUAUGAGUCAACCCAGCCAAUAUUGAAUGACCCUAAACCCACCCCUCCCCGCCAAUAUAAGUACAGGGAUUGCAGGUUAUGAGUCAACCCAGCCAAUAUUGAAUGACCCUAAACCCACCCCUCCCCGCCAAUAUAAGUACAGGGAUUGCAGGUUAUGAGUCAACCCAGCCAAUAUUGAAUGACCCUAAACCCACCCCUCCCCGCCAAUAUAAGUACAGGGAUUGCAGGUUAUGAGUCAACCCACCCAAUAUUGAAUGACCCUAAACCCACCCCUCCCCGCCAAUAUAAGUACAGGGAUUGCAGGUUAUGAGUCAACCCACCCA